Long non-coding RNA from Hemicordylus capensis (graceful crag lizard), 16242 nucleotides. RefSeq lists it as uncharacterized. The record is from RefSeq and is a predicted model, not a curated record. The transcript is spliced from 11 exons. Lineage: Eukaryota; Metazoa; Chordata; Lepidosauria; Squamata; Cordylidae.
CCCGCUCCUCCCAUUCCCCCCGCCCGCUCCUCAGAGCGCAGCCCGCUGCUCUCAUUGGCUGGAAGGGUGACAGCUGCGGUCGCUGAUUGGCUGGGUGUUCGCCAGCUGGAUCCGCCUCCCGCAGCUGAGGCGAAGCGCCUAAUUUGAGCCGGGAAAUCUCCUGAGGCGAGGCUGGGAGGGCAGCAGCGGGAAGGGGGCUCUCAGCCCCACAUGCCCCAGCCCCGACCCCCACCGCUGGGGGAGAGCAGCGAAGCCGCAGCCCCAGACAGCCACCGACAGCAGGGAAAGCCCUCAACCUUGCCCUCUAUCUCGCGAAAGGAAGGGAAGGAGGAAUUCUCUGAGGGAAGGUUUUCCCUCACCAGAAGGAGGAGAAUUGAGAAUUCAUCUCUGAGGGGAGGCUGUCUUCAAGACACUCUUCAAGGAAGGGCUCUAUGUUCAGCCCUGGGCUUUACCUCACCAGAAGGAGGAGAAUUGAGAAUUCAUCUCUGAGGGGAGGCUGUCUUCAAGACACACUUCAAGGAAGGGCUCUAUGCAGAGCCUUGGGCUUUUUACCUCACCAGAAGGAGGAUAAUUGAGAAUUCAUCUCUGAGGGGAGGCUGUCUUCAAGACACUCUUCAAGGAAGGGCUCUAUGCAGAGCCUUGGGCUUUUUACCUCACCAGAAGGAGGAUAAUUGAGAAUUCAUCUCUGAGGGGAGGCUGUCUUCAAGACACACUGCAAGGAAGGGCUCUAUGCUCGGCUUUGGUCUUUACCUCACCAGAAUAAUAAUUGUCAAUCUGCCUCAGGAAAAGGAGGAAACCACUUAAGCCAUGCUACUCUGCUAGGAUAUUGCUUUAAAGAAAUUCUUUGUGGGAGAAUGGCAGGAAUAUGGUCUUCAAGACCCAUUCCAAAAACUAGUUUCUGAGGGGAAGUGGAGUUUCUGAGUGGGGAGUUCAUCUCUCUGCUUGGGCUUCAUCCUGCCAAAAGAACUCAAACAAACCCCCUCUGAGGAUGCUGCAGCCGUGCUGACGUGUACAGAAGCCCGGCCACCUCACUGCCCACAUUUAUAGCAUUUUGUCUGCAGAGGGCAAAACGCGACAGAUUCUCCCCGUCCUCAGAACACUGGGGCGCCACAGUCUUCUGCAUCACGGUGAAAACCUGUCCACUAUUAGAGCGUUCUUUCUCUCUGCAUACAAAUGCUAUAAAUGUGGACAGCACAAGGCCGGACUUCUGAGCGCAACGGCACAGGGGCUGCAGCAGAGAAUUCCAUGAGGCCAGGGGCUGUGUAACUACAGACUGGCCAAUUUAGUCUGAGAAAACUGGGUGUGACUGAGUUUUUUUAAAUUCUCCUGACAGUUGUGUAAGGCAGCAUAAUUCCUAACAUAGUGGCUGGCUUGUAUGGAACACCCUCCAUGCGCUUUAGAAGCUUGAGGCUUCUAGAUAUUUGCAACACCUUUCUGAGGCAACAUAGUCUCCAGUUUUCCAGCAGGCAUGUAUGGAACAUGCUUCAUGCAUGUUAGAAGCUCCAGGCUUCUUAAAAUGCUGGCUCUGAGCAGGAAAUUAGAAAGACAAUAAACACAAUGCAGUAUAAUUGUAUAUUAUACAAUUGAUGGAACAGAACAACAUGCUUCAUGCAUGUUAGAAGCUUCAGGCUUCUUGAUUCUCCAGACAACUCUACAUACACUCUAAGAUGGUGGCAGCCUUUAAUGGAAUAUGCUAGUGUGGUGUAGUAGUUAGAGUGCUGGACUAUGGACCGGGGAGACCUGAGUUCAAAUCCCCAAUCAGCCAUGAUACUUUCUGGGUGACUCUGGGCCAGUCAUUUCUCCCUCAGCCUAGACACAGGGUUGUUGUGAAAGAGAAACUUAAGUAUGUAGUACACUGCUCUGGGCUCCUUGGAGGAAGAGCGGGAUAUCAAUUUAAUAAUAAUGAUGAUAAUGCGUGUUAAAUUCUCUCCUCUCGACAACGCUACGUGGCAAAUUUGUCAAGAAGAAACAGAGUCGGCCCAUGUGUCAAUGACCUCCGUGCCUGAGUGGUGCUUUCAGAUCAUUUUUCCUCCCAGAAGGCCAGUGUGGCAGCUUCCAAGAAAGAACGCAAGGAGAGCACGUCAUACGAGCCAAGAAGAAAUUGAAAGUCCCCAACCUCCCGCAUGAGAAACCAAACCAGGACCUGUGUCGAAGCUUCAGGUUUCUUUAUUGUCCCAAGAAUAUCAAUGAGAAUAGUUCUCUAGGCAGCACACAACACAACAUUACACAACAUGUAAUCGAAACACAUAGAACACAACAAACAUAUCACAUCACACAACAGCAGCUGUGGCAGGCAGCAUCGCCUCUAAGGUGGUGACUGCUGUUCAUGGGACAUGCUUCAUGCAUGUUACAAGCUACAGUUGGAUUAGGCAAGAAGCGGCAGAAUGGGCAGACAUUUCCCUAGGACCUUCAUGUGCAGUGUUCACGUUCAAAUGCCUUUAUUACGGGCUUUGACCAUCCAACUAGAAAGACAAUAGACGCUAUGAACAACGCAAUAGAAUGGCAUAUUAUAUCCUCCGUGGAACAGAACAACAUGCUUCAUGCGUGUUAGAAGCUUCACGCUUCUUGAUUCUCCCUCCCAACAGCUCUUUGUUAGGCUACAUACACUCUAGGAUGGUGGCAGCCUUUAAUGGAAUACGCUUCAUGCAUGUUCCAUUCUGUCCUCUCGACAACGCUUCGUGGCAAAUCUGGCAAGAAGAAACAGAGUCGGCCCAUGUGUCUCAAUGACCUCCGUGCCCGAGCGGUGCUUUCGGACCAUUUUCUCCUCCCACAAGGCCAGCGUGGCAGCUUCCAAGAAAGAACGCAAGGAGAGCACGUCAUACGAGCCAAGAAGAAAUUGAAAGUCCCCAACCUCCCGCAUGAGAAACCAAACCAGGACCUGUGUCGAAGCUUCAGGCUUCUUUCUUGUCCCAAGAAUAUCAAUGAGAAUAGUUCUCUAGGCAGCACACAACACAACAUUCCACAACAUGUAAUCGAAACACAUAGAACACAACAAACAUAUCACAUCACACAACAGCAGCUGUGGCAGGCAGCAUCGCCUCUAAGGUGGUGACUGCUAUUCAUGGGACAUGCUUCAUGCAUGUUACAAGCUACAGUUGGAUUAGGCAAGAAGCGGCAGAAUGGGCAGACAUUUCCCUAGGACCCUCAUGUGCAGUGUUCACGUUCAAAUGCCUUUAUUACGGGCUUUGACCAUCCAACUAGAAAGACAAUAGACGCUAUGAAGAAGGCAAUAGAAUGGCAUAUUAUAUCCUCCGUGGAACAGAACAACACGCUUCAUGCGUGUUAGAAGCUUCAGGCUUCUUGAUUCUCCCUCCCAACAGCUCUUUGUUAGGCUACAUACACUCUAGGAUGGUGGCAGCCUUUAAUGGAAUACGCUUCAUGCAUGUUCCAUUCUGUCCUCUCGACAACGCUUCGUGGCAAAUCUGGCAAGAAGAAACAGAGUCGGCCCAAGUGUCCCAAUGACCUCCGUGCCCGAGUGGUGCUUUCGGACCAUUUUCUCCUCCCACAAGGCCAGCGUGGCAGCUUCCAAGAAAGAACGCAAGGAGAACACGUCAUACGAGCCAAGAAGAAAUUGAAAGUCCCCAACCUCCCGCAUGAGAAACCAAACCAGGACCUGUGUCGAAGCUUCAGGCUUCUUUCUUGUCCCAAGAAUAUCAAUGAGAAUAGUUCUCUAGGCAGCACACAACACAACAUUCCACAACAUGUAAUCGAAACACAUAGAACACAACAAACAUAUCACAUCACACAACAGCAGCUGUGGCAGGCAGCAUCGCCUCUAAGGUGGUGACUGCUGUUCAUGGGACAUGCUUCAUGCAUGUUACAAGCUACAGUUGGAUUAGGCAAGAAGCAGCAGAAUGGGCAGACAUUUCCCUAGGACCCUCAUGUGCAGUGUUCACGUUCAAAUGCCUUUAUUACGGGCUUUGACCAUCCAACUAGAAAGACAAUAGACGCUAUGAAGAAGGCAAUAGAAUGGCAUAUUAUAUCCUCCGUGGAACAGAACAACACGCUUCAUGCGUGUUAGAAGCUUCACGCUUCUUGAUUCUCCCUCCCAACAGCUCUUUGUUAGGCUACAUACACUCUAGGAUGGUGGCAGCCUUUAAUGGAAUACGCUUCAUGCAUGUUCCAUUCUGUCCUCUCGACAACGCUUCGUGGCAAAUCUGGCAAGAAGAAACAGAGUCGGCCCAAGUGUCCCAAUGACCUCCGUGCCCGAGUGGUGCUUUCGGACCAUUUUCUCCUCCCACAAGGCCAGCGUGGCAGCUUCCAAGAAAGAACGCAAGGAGAACACGUCAUACGAGCCAAGAAGAAAUUGAAAGUCCCCAACCUCCCGCAUGAGAAACCAAACCAGGACCUGUGUCGAAGCUUCAGGCUUCUUUCUUGUCCCAAGAAUAUCAAUGAGAAUAGUUCUCUAGGCAGCACACAACACAACAUUCCACAACAUGUAAUCGAAACACAUAGAACACAACAAACAUAUCACAUCACACAACAGCAGCUGUGGCAGGCAGCAUCGCCUCUAAGGUGGUGACUGCUGUUCAUGGGACAUGCUUCAUGCAUGUUACAAGCUACAGUUGGAUUAGGCAAGAAGCAGCAGAAUGGGCAGACAUUUCCCUAGGACCCUCAUGUGCAGUGUUCACGUUCAAAUGCCUUUAUUACGGGCUUUGACCAUCCAACUAGAAAGACAAUAGACGCUAUGAAGAAGGCAAUAGAAUGGCAUAUUAUAUCCUCCGUGGAACAGAACAACACGCUUCAUGCGUGUUAGAAGCUUCACGCUUCUUGAUUCUCCCUCCCAACAGCUCUUUGUUAGGCUACAUACACUCUAGGAUGGUGGCAGCCUUUAAUGGAAUACGCUUCAUGCAUGUUCCAUUCUGUCCUCUCGACAACGCUUCGUGGCAAAUCUGGCAAGAAGAAACAGAGUCGGCCCAAGUGUCCCAAUGACCUCCGUGCCCGAGUGGUGCUUUCGGACCAUUUUCUCCUCCCACAAGGCCAGCGUGGCAGCUUCCAAGAAAGAACGCAAGGAGAACACGUCAUACGAGCCAAGAAGAAAUUGAAAGUCCCCAACCUCCCGCAUGAGAAACCAAACCAGGACCUGUGUCGAAGCUUCAGGCUUCUUUCUUGUCCCAAGAAUAUCAAUGAGAAUAGUUCUCUAGGCAGCACACAACACAACAUUCCACAACAUGUAAUCGAAACACAUAGAACACAACAAACAUAUCACAUCACACAACAGCAGCUGUGGCAGGCAGCAUCGCCUCUAAGGUGGUGACUGCUGUUCAUGGGACAUGCUUCAUGCAUGUUACAAGCUACAGUUGGAUUAGGCAAGAAGCAGCAGAAUGGGCAGACAUUUCCCUAGGACCCUCAUGUGCAGUGUUCACGUUCAAAUGCCUUUAUUACGGGCUUUGACCAUCCAACUAGAAAGACAAUAGACGCUAUGAAGAAGGCAAUAGAAUGGCAUAUUAUAUCCUCCGUGGAACAGAACAACACGCUUCAUGCGUGUUAGAAGCUUCACGCUUCUUGAUUCUCCCUCCCAACAGCUCUUUGUUAGGCUACAUACACUCUAGGAUGGUGGCAGCCUUUAAUGGAAUACGCUUCAUGCAUGUUCCAUUCUGUCCUCUCGACAACGCUUCGUGGCAAAUCUGGCAAGAAGAAACAGAGUCGGCCCAAGUGUCCCAAUGACCUCCGUGCCCGAGUGGUGCUUUCGGACCAUUUUCUCCUCCCACAAGGCCAGCGUGGCAGGUAAGGCUCAGACUGCACCAAGAAAAAGAACUCUCCAGGUAUAGGAGAUAACCUGUCUUCCUUGGAGGCCUGUCAGCAGAGCCUGAAAGACCCUAGUUCUCAGCCUAGCUUUGAAAGAUAUUUCGUUCUGGUGUCCUCUACUUUUUAAUUGUCAUUUUUUGCCUACUAUUGAUUAGUUUUUGAUUUCAACAUUUUUAAUUAUUUUAAAAAAUGUAAACCGCCCUGAGCCACCUUUGGAAGGGUGGCAUAUAAAUCCAAUGAAUAUAUUAAUCACCUGGCGGGGUCAGGGGGGAUCCCUAGCUGAAUCACUGCAUUUAGUGAUGAGGUUCUUCAUGAGAAGACUGAAGAAUGUAUUCCUAAAAUGUCUAUUUGAUAUAUAUUAUACAUUAAUAGUCACAAGGUCAUAUAAACAUGAGACAAGCAUGAAGAAUCCCCCCCCCCCCCGAAAUCUAUUAGGUACUCCUUGUGCAAAAUGUCCUAUUGCCCUCAGUUCAGAAUGAAUGACACGGCCUGUUCUCUUCCAACAGCUUCCAAGAAAGAACGCAAGGAGAGCACGUCAUACGAGCCAAGAAGAAAUUGAAAGUCCCCAACCUCCCGCAUGAGAAACCAAACCAGGGCCUGUGUCGAAGCUUCAGGCUUCUUUCUUGUCCCAAGAAUAUCAAUGAGAAUAGUUCUCUAGGCAGCACACAACACAACAUUCCACAACAUGUAAUCGAAACACAUAGAACACAACAAACAUAUCACAUCACACAACAGCAGCUGUGGCAGGCAGCAUCGCCUCUAAGGUGGUGACUGCUGUUCAUGGGACAUGCUUCAUGCAUGUUACAAGCUACAGUUGGAUUAGGCAAGAAGCGGCAGAAUGGGCAGACAUUUCCCUAGGACCCUCAUGUGCAGUGUUCACGUUCAAAUGCCUUUAUUACGGGCUUUGACCAUCCAACUAGAAAGACAAUAGACGCUAUGAAGAAGGCAAUAGAAUGGCAUAUUAUAUCCUCCGUGGAACAGAACAACACGCUUCAUGCGUGUUAGAAGCUUCAGGCUUCUUGAUUCUCCCUCCCAACAGCUCUUUGUUAGGCUACAUACACUCUAGGAUGGUGGCAGCCUUUAAUGGAAUACGCUUCAUGCAUGUUCCAUUCUGUCCUCUCGACAACGCUUCGUGGCAAAUCUGGCAAGAAGAAACAGAGUCGGCCCAAGUGUCCCAAUGACCUCCGUGCCCGAGUGGUGCUUUCGGACCAUUUUCUCCUCCCACAAGGCCAGCGUGGCAGCUUCCAAGAAAGAACGCAAGGAGAGCACGUCAUACGAGCCAAGAAGAAAUUGAAAGUCCCCAACCUCCCGCAUGAGAAACCAAACCAGGACCUGUGUCGAAGCUUCAGGUUUCUUUAUUGUCCCAAGAAUAUCAAUGAGAAUAGUUCUCUAGGCAGCACACAACACAACAUUACACAACAUGUAAUCGAAACACAUAGAACACAACAAACAUAUCACAUCACACAACAGCAGCUGUGGCAGGCAGCAUCGCCUCUAAGGUGGUGACUGCUGUUCAUGGGACAUGCUUCAUGCAUGUUACAAGCUACAGUUGGAUUAGGCAAGAAGCGGCAGAAUGGGCAGACAUUUCCCUAGGACCUUCAUGUGCAGUGUUCACGUUCAAAUGCCUUUAUUACGGGCUUUGACCAUCCAACUAGAAAGACAAUAGACGCUAUGAACAACGCAAUAGAAUGGCAUAUUAUAUCCUCCGUGGAACAGAACAACAUGCUUCAUGCGUGUUAGAAGCUUCACGCUUCUUGAUUCUCCCUCCCAACAGCUCUUUGUUAGGCUACAUACACUCUAGGAUGGUGGCAGCCUUUAAUGGAAUACGCUUCAUGCAUGUUCCAUUCUGUCCUCUCGACAACGCUUCGUGGCAAAUCUGGCAAGAAGAAACAGAGUCGGCCCAUGUGUCUCUAUGACCUCCGUGCCCGAGCGGUGCUUUCGGACCAUUUUCUCCUCCCACAAGGCCAGCGUGGCAGCUUCCAAGAAAGAACGCAAGGAGAGCACGUCAUACGAGCCAAGAAGAAAUUGAAAGUCCCCAACCUCCCGCAUGAGAAACCAAACCAGGGCCUGUGUCGAAGCUUCAGGCUUCUUUCUUGUCCCAAGAAUAUCAAUGAGAAUAGUUCUCUAGGCAGCACACAACACAACAUUACACAACAUGUAAUCGAAACACAUAGAACACAACAAACAUAUCACAUCACACAACAGCAGCUGUGGCAGGCAGCAUCGCCUCUAAGGUGGUGACUGCUGUUCAUGGGACAUGCUUCAUGCAUGUUACAAGCUACAGUUGGAUUAGGCAAGAAGCGGCAGAAUGGGCAGACAUUUCCCUAGGACCCUCAUGUGCAGUGUUCACGUUCAAAUGCCUUUAUUACGGGCUUUGACCAUCCAACUAGAAAGACAAUAGACGCUAUGAAGAAGGCAAUAGAAUGGCAUAUUAUAUCCUCCGUGGAACAGAACAACACGCUUCAUGCGUGUUAGAAGCUUCAGGCUUCUUGAUUCUCCCUCCCAACAGCUCUUUGUUAGGCUACAUACACUCUAGGAUGGUGGCAGCCUUUAAUGGAAUACGCUUCAUGCAUGUUCCAUUCUGUCCUCUCGACAACGCUUCGUGGCAAAUCUGGCAAGAAGAAACAGAGUCGGCCCAAGUGUCCCAAUGACCUCCGUGCCCGAGUGGUGCUUUCGGACCAUUUUCUCCUCCCACAAGGCCAGCGUGGCAGCUUCCAAGAAAGAACGCAAGGAGAGCACGUCAUACGAGCCAAGAAGAAAUUGAAAGUCCCCAACCUCCCGCAUGAGAAACCAAACCAGGGCCUGUGUCGAAGCUUCAGGCUUCUUUCUUGUCCCAAGAAUAUCAAUGAGAAUAGUUCUCUAGGCAGCACAUAACACAACAUUCCACAACAUGUAAUCGAAACACAUAGAACACAACAAACAUAUCACAUCACACAAUAGCAGCUGUGGCAGGCAGCAUCGCCUCUAAGGUGGUGACUGCUGUUCAUGGGACAUGCUUCAUGCAUGUUACAAGCUACAGUUGGAUUAGGCAAGAAGCGGCAGAAUGGGCAGACAUUUCCCUAGGACCUUCAUGUGCAGUGUUCACGUUCAAAUGCCUUUAUUACGGGCUUUGACCAUCCAACUAGAAAGACAAUAGACGCUAUGAAGAAGGCAAUAGAAUGGCAUAUUAUAUCCUCCGUGGAACAGAACAACACGCUUCAUGCGUGUUAGAAGCUUCACGCUUCUUGAUUCUCCCUCCCAACAGCUCUUUGUUAGGCUACAUACACUCUAGGAUGGUGGCAGCCUUUAAUGGAAUACGCUUCAUGCAUGUUCCAUUCUGUCCUCUCGACAACGCUUCGUGGCAAAUCUGGCAAGAAGAAACAGAGUCGGCCCAAGUGUCUCAAUGACCUCCAUGCCCCAGUGGUGCUUUCGGACCAUUUUCUCCUCCCACAAGGCCAGCGUGGCAGCUUCCAAGAAAGAACGCAAGGAGAGCACGUCAUACGAGCCAAGAAGAAAUUGAAAGUCCCCAACCUCCCGCAUGAGAAACCAAACCAGGGCCUGUGUCGAAGCUUCAGGCUUCUUUCUUGUCCCAAGAAUAUCAAUAAGAAUAGUUCUCUAGGCAGCACACAACACAACAUUACACAACAUGUAAUCGAAACACAUAGAACACAACAAACAUAUCACAUCACACAACAGCAGCUGUGGCAGGCAGCAUCGCCUCUAAGGUGGUGACUGCUGUUCAUGGGACAUGCUUCAUGCAUGUUACAAGCUACAGUUGGAUUAGGCAAGAAGCAGCAGAAUGGGCAGACAUUUCCCUAGGACCUUCAUGUGGAGUGUUCACGUUCAAAUGCCUUUACUACGGGCUUUGACCAUCCAACUAGAAAGACAAUAGACGCUAUGAACAACGCAAUAGAAUGGCAUAUUAUAUCCUCCGUGGAACAGAACAACACGCUUCAUGCGUGUUAGAAGCUUCAGGCUUCUUGAUUCUCCCUCCCAACAGCUCUUUGUUAGGCUACAUACACUCUAGGAUGGUGGCAGCCUUUAAUGGAAUACGCUUCAUGCAUGUUCCAUUCUGUCCUCUCGACAACGCUUCGUGGCAAAUCUGGCAAGAAGAAACAGAGUCGGCCCAAGUGUCUCAAUGACCUCCGUGCCCGAGUGGUGUUUUCGGACCAUUUUCUCCUCCCACACGGCCAGCGUGGCAGGUAAGGCUCAGACUGCACCAAGAAAAAGAACUCUCCAGGUAUAGGAGAUAACCUGUCUUCCUUGGAGGCCUGUCAGCAGAGCCUGAAAGACCCUAGUUCUCAGCCUAGCUUUUAAAGAUAUUUCGUCCUGAUGUCCUCUACUUUUUAAUUGUCAUUUUUAUCUACUAUUGAUUAGUUUUUGAUUUCAACAUUUUUAAUUAUUUUAAAAAAUGUAAACCGCCCUGAGCCACCUUUGGAAGGGCGGCAUAUAAAUCCAAUGAAUAUAUUAAUCACCUGUCGGGGUCAGGGGGGAUCCCUAGCUGAACAAUGCAAUAGAAUGGCAUAUUAUACCAUUGAGGGAACAGAACAACAUGCUUCAUGCGUGUUAGAAGCUUCAGGCUUCUUGAUUCUCCCAACAACUCUACAUACACUCUCAGAUGGUAGCAGCCUUUAAUGGAACACGCUACAUGCAUGUUCCAUUCUGUACUCUCGACAACGCUUCGUGGCAAAUCUGGCAAGAAGAAACAGAGUCGGCCCAUGUGUCUCAAUGAGCUCCGUGCCCGAGUGGUGCUUUCGGACCAUUUUCUCCUCCCAGAAGGCAAGCGUGGCAGGUAAGGCUCAGAGUGGACCAAGAAAAAGAACUCUCCAGGUAUAUGAGAUAACCUUUCUUCCCAGGAGGUCUGUUUGCAGAGCCUUAAAGUCCCUAGUUCUUAGCCUAGCUUUUAUAGAUAUUCAGUUCUGAUGUGCUCUAGUUUUCCAUUGUAAUUUUAUUCUGCUUUUCAUUGGGUUUUGAUUUCUACUGUUUUGCUUUUUCAGCCCCCCCGACCCCCUUCUGGCCAGAGUUCUACGCAGGAUACGCCUACUGUGGGCUGACGUCUUGCUCAUUACUCUGUUUUUUCCCAGGAGGCCGUGGUUUCCUGAACUGCUUCAUCUGUCACCAUAACCUCCUUGGGAGUCACCCACAGAUUACGAUCUUCUCUCCCAAGGCCCAGUGCACCAUCCAAACCCUCCUUGGUUACUUCUAACCAUCUGGAGGCUGAGCGGCCUCUGGUAGGCCAGCACGGGUACUCUAGGAGCGUACUUAAAAACCAUGCUAGCAUCCUGCAGAGUGUCUACAGAGAGAAUCUACCAGUAUUCUUUGAGGACCUUUUUAUGUUUGAUGGCCCGUCACUCCAUUCCCCGGGGCACUGCGACCUUGCGACAUCCCCUACAAUUCCUACAGGAGGGCCUAGAUAAGGGUCUAUGACCAAAUACCCUUAAGAGGCAAGCGGCUUCUUUGUUUACCCUGGUAUCCCGUGGGUCUGCUCAGAUCACCCUGUCCCAACCCCAGGUGCCUUUCGGCUGUCUCCACCAACAGCUCAUCGGUUCCCCACGUGGGAUUUGCAUACCGUCCUCCGUGCCCUUCGGUCUCCCCCGUUUGAAAAAGUUAAAAGCGUUCCUAUUAGAGUUUUAUCGUUCAAGUUGGCUUUCCUUGUGGCGGUGACAUCCGCCAGGCACGUUUCUGAGUUAAGGGCUUUGUUGGUCAACAAGGCAUUCGGCAUCUUCCUAAAAGACUCUGUGAGACCGAUCCCUGAUCCAUUCAUACGCCCUAAGUGCCGUCGACUUCUCACCUCUCACAGGACGUUUUCCUUCCUUCGUUUUGUCCCAAACCGUCUCACCCUAGAGAAAGACAGUGGCACAAACUAGAUGUCCGGUGCUGCCUUAAGGCUUAUAUUAAGAGGUCAGCUUCCUUUAGGGUGUUGGGCACCACGUUCGUUUCCUUUCACCCACGAGCUAGGGGGAUGGCUGUUUCGUCUGCAACAAUCGCUAGAUGGUUAAAGGCCUGUAUUGUUAUGGCUUAUGAGGCGCAACAUCUUAGGUCACCCGCUCGCAUCCUCGCACAUUCAACAAGGACAGCAGCAACUUUGGCGGCCUUCUCAACGAAUGCAACUGUGGAAGAGAGAUGCAGAGCUGCUCCCUGAGCCUCUCUGUCUACUUUUACAAGGCACUAGAAGAUAGAUGGUGAUGCUUCUGCCCGUUCCUCCUUUGGUAGGAGGGUCUUGCAGCAGGUACUUCCUCGACAAUAGGCCAGAGCGCUCCCGGCCGAGUUGGGCAGCUGUGGUAUGUCCCAUGGAGAAGUCCCUGGCAGCUCAGCAACUGAGGAUGGAGCAUUGGUUCACUUACCAUGAAGGCUGCUUCUGGCUGCUGAGAUGCCAGGGAGGACAUCUCGGCCCACCCUGCUAAUUCCGGCGCGCUGGCCUGAUACCGACGAGAUCUCCGCAGCACUAAUCCAGCACCAGUUCGGGGUCCAUCCUGUUCUGGGUGCCUUUUUUUUCCUCUGUACUGAUCCUGUCGUGUUUCUGAUGUCUGUGUUCUUCUGCUAUCUCGGGUAGGCGUGUCUUCUUUUCUUAACCAUUUAGUUUCUGUCCUGCCUUGGAGCUCCUGAGAUGGAGAACCCAUAGAGAUGUCCCGGGCCUCAGCAACCAGAAGAAGCCUUCACGGUAAGUGAACCAAUGCUCCGUUUUUCUUUUUUUAUUUUAAUGUAAACCGAGUCUGAGCCACCUUUGGAAGGGCGGUAUAUAAAUCAAAUAAAUAAAUAAGCGACCAGUGGGGGAAUCCCUAGCUGAAUCACUGCAUUUAGUGAUGAGGUUUUUCAUAAGAUGACUGAAGGAUAUAUUCCCAAAAUGUUUCUUCAAUAUAUAUUAUACAUUAAUAGUCACAAGGUCAUAAACGCAUGAAACAACCAUGAAGAAUAUUCUCAGCUGCUGUGGGAAGACAUCUCGUGUGGGUUAUCAUCUCGAGCUCGCUCCAGAGAGGCAGGACUAUGUAAAUAAGCUACCAAGCCUAUAAAAGACAUCUCGACCCACCUGGGACAUCCAGGCUUCUGGGACUUGUUUUUUUCCUAUUCUGAUAACUGUAUUAAUUACAGCUUGUACUUCUUCCUUUCUAGAAGCUUAGCUUGCCUACUUAAACCAGGAGGGAUUAGGGGUUAGCCUCUCCUCCUGAGGCUUUUAUAGGCUUGGUAGCUUAUUUACAUACAUAGUCCUGCCUCUCUGGAGCGAGCUUGGGAUGAUAACCCACACGAGAUGUCUUCCACAACAGCAGCUAGAAGAAGUCUUCAUGCUUUCAAGAAACAACGAAAGGAGACGGUGUCAUACAAGCCAAGACUAUCCAAUUAGAAAUUAAGGCUCAGAGACAGAGUCUGGACCAAAUAAAGAGAAAACAAAGCAAGAUUUUAAAAAAACAAACUCUUGGAGUUUAGGAGGUAAUUUAACAGACACCAUGCCUUGUUGUAGCAAUGCUUGUUUUCUUUCAUGAGGCUCUUCAGCAGAGGACUGAAGAAUACAUGCAAAAUAUGUAUAGUUAUGGCUGACAACCAGACUAAGUUCCUCAAUAGUAUGGCGUUCCCCUCAGGAGUUACUUUAAAGAGCUACUCCAUUUCAAUAGGGCUUCCAUUGUGUAACUCUGUGUGGAUGUCUGUCAGUAUUCAUUGUGCUUUGAUUUUUGCCAUUUAAUCAACGUGAAACAGCUUUGAAGAGUGUUUUGAUACCACAUGAGAUGUGGUAUUGUGCACACUUAAAAAAAAGACUUCUUCUCUUCCAACAGUUUUCAAGAAAGAGCAGAAGAAGCAAGAACACAGAAGACAAGCCAAUCUGUUCCCAUCUCUUUUGUGAAGUCGCACUCACCAGAGAACUUUAAAAAAUUUGUUUCCUCUAGUUGGGACACAAUUGUGGAAAGUGUAUUGCCCAGGAAAUCUCAGAUGUAAUCUAGCCCACCUCUCAUCUUGUUACAGAAAAAUGCAAUAUUGUUCAAACUUCAGAAUAAAUUACUUAUUCUUUCUCAACAGAGUUCAAGAAAGAGCAAAAGAAGCAGUGACGCAGAAGACAAACGCUAUCUUGAUCCCUUUUCUGAGGAGGCACUUCAUCAGGGAACUAGAGGAUAUAUAGAAAACUGAAAUAUUGAAUAUAAUAAUUUAUUACAUACUGUUUGUCACAAGAGAAUAUAAAAAUGAAACAACUGUGAAGAGUGUAUUACCCAGGAAAUCUUUGGUGGAAUCCUUAGCAAACUGCUCCUGUCUUAACAUAAAAAUGCAAUGUUGCACAAAGUAAAUGAUGUAACUUGUUCGUUCUUUCCCAACAGAUUUCAAGAAAGAACAAAAAGAGGCAACGAACUGUACACAAGCACUGGAAGCAAAACUGCGCUACUAGUUUCGGUGGUGUUUUCAGAUAAGUCUCGAGAGGCUUCAAGUGUGAGUUUCUUUUGCUUUUGGCCCUGCCAGGUAGGUUAGAUGGGAUUGUUCUGGACUGUCUUGAAGGGUUUAUGCCUUAGAGACAGAGAACUUAAGUGAAUGUUCUUUCUUUCUUUCUUUCUUUCCUUCCCAUCCAACAUAGAGCUGCUCGGGGCGAUUUGCAAAGACCUCCUCUAUUAAAUGAAAAACCAAAAACCAUCCACUACUAAAUUCCAAAACACACACACAAAAACCCCACUAUUAAAACAAACACCCUACUAAAUGCAACAAAACCCACUACUAAAUGAAAACCACAACUAAAUGCAACCCCCUCCCCCACUAAUAAAUGCAGAAAAAACCCACAACUCACUACUAAAUGCAAUAAAAUGAAAUAAAACAGCAGGUAAAAAAGACCAAAAAAAUAGCUUUCAUAACUAAGCACUGAUUAAAAUGGGAAACCAAUUACAACCAGUGUUACAUGCUUCUUUAAAAAGGAGAGUUUUCAAAUUCUUUUUAAAAAUGUAUUAAAGCAGGGCGAUUGACUUGUAUGGAAAUCUAGACUGCAGCCUGUAUUUAACUGAGCUAUGCAUUUGUUGAUGUUGGUCCAGGCAAUGUUUGUUCUGUAUUUGACUAACAAUUGAUUACUCCAAGUCGUUCCUUUAAAAAAAAUAAAUUUAGAGUGUUCUAAACUUGGAUUGGAGAAAAAAAUGGGAUUUUUCUUUGUGGACAUUUCCUGACAUGGCUGCUUUGGGUGAGUAUUUGUUCAGUGAAAAAUCGGUGAUGUUUGAAACUAACACAAAUAUUUAACACUUAACACAUGUGCUAAGGAUAUUAAAAAAUGUUCUAUUUUUCAUUUUGAUACAUGAAUUAUUUCAAAAGAUGAAAGAGUUAAACAUUAGCAUGCCCUUAGAUUUUCUUUCCCCCCAGCAGGUUGAUCUAUAUUUACUGCUAUGUGGAUUGUGGGCAAACCUCUAGCUAGGAGGCUAUUGGAAGAAAUUCCGAGUUACACAACUGGCUAACGUCAAAGAGGUGGGUAUUAUGAUUAGUCCGUGUGUGCGCGUGUUCUUUCUUUCAGAUUUUCUUUUUCCCUAGCAGGUUGAUUUUUAAGCACUGCCGUAUAGAUUGUGGUGAAUCCCAACCAGGAGGAGAUCUCAUGAAAUCAGUAAUGUGUUAAACAAACAAAUGAAUAAGUAUAUACUGCAUUUCGACAAAAGUUCCCAAAGUGGUUUACAGAGAGAAAACAAUGGAAAACUAAUAAGAUGGAUCCCUGUCCCCAAAGGGCUCACAGUCAAAAUGGCUAAUGUCAAAGAGGUACGUAUAAACCCAUUUUUUGGUUUUAUUUUUGUACAGAUCUUUUUCUCCAGCAGGUUGAUUUGUCUGUACCGCUCAGUGUUCCGUCUAAGCUGUGUGUGUGUGUGCACGCACUCACACAUUUUUUUGAUGUCCGGUCAGUUAAUUUUAGAUCCCGCUCAGGUUGAAUCUGGCAGGCCGCAUUCUGAAUACACGUGUGCACACACUGCCUGGAUACUGCCACCCAGAACAAAACUCAUUCCACACAAAGAGGAAAAAGAUUAGAGAGAACUCUGGUACCGCUUUGUGGAGAAAUCUCUCUAUCAGUAUUCUAAGGAAUCAGACUUGUCUAAAAAUGGCUAACGUCAAAGAGGUAUGUAUUAAGUCUUAUUUAGACUGAGUUUAUUUCUGCAUAAGGAGGAUGACUCUGUUUAAAUGUGUCCCUUUUGCAGCUUUUCCACUCAAGAGACCUGAGCAGACCUGUUGGAUGCUGUCGCAACUUGGAUGUCGGGACACAGGAGCUGAAGUCCUACUACAGUCCGGGCGAAGUGCUGGUAAUCUCUCCCCUGCAGCCUCCAAAGAAAGGGGAGAGCUGGAAGAAAAGGAUUCCCUGCCAGGAAGGAGCGGCUGUGAUGCUGAUGCUCAGUUCCGUCCCUUGUUAUAGCCUCUGUAUGGUUGUUGGGGGGGGGGGUGUGGGGGGGUGUUUUUUCUUUAUGUGAGCAAUCCUGUGCAUUCAAUACCUCUGUCAAACGUUUGUGUGGAACCCGGGUUCUUUUUGGUUUUGUAUUGUAUUUUAAAGGUCUGGGGAACGAGUGUCCCAGUAAAGAACUCCUCUCA